This 907-nucleotide ribosomal RNA is filed under the name Escherichia coli. RNAcentral describes it as "partial 23S ribosomal RNA". It matches the Rfam family "Bacterial large subunit ribosomal RNA", at positions 247 to 1194 of the family's 2925-position model. The record is from RNAcentral. Lineage: Bacteria; Pseudomonadati; Pseudomonadota; Gammaproteobacteria; Enterobacterales; Enterobacteriaceae.
CGGCGAGCGAACGGGGAGCAGCCCAGAGCCUGAAUCAGUGUGUGUGUUAGUGGAAGCGUCUGGAAAGGCGCGCGAUACAGGGUGACAGCCCCGUACACAAAAAUGCACAUGCUGUGAGCUCGAUGAGUAGGGCGGGACACGUGGUAUCCUGUCUGAAUAUGGGGGGACCAUCCUCCAAGGCUAAAUACUCCUGACUGACCGAUAGUGAACCAGUACCGUGAGGGAAAGGCGAAAAGAACCCCGGCGAGGGGAGUGAAAAAGAACCUGAAACCGUGUACGUACAAGCAGUGGGAGCACGCUUAGGCGUGUGACUGCGUACCUUUUGUAUAAUGGGUCAGCGACUUAUAUUCUGUAGCAAGGUUAACCGAAUAGGGGAGCCGAAGGGAAACCGAGUCUUAACUGGGCGUUAAGUUGCAGGGUAUAGACCCGAAACCCGGUGAUCUAGCCAUGGGCAGGUUGAAGGUUGGGUAACACUAACUGGAGGACCGAACCGACUAAUGUUGAAAAAUUAGCGGAUGACUUGUGGCUGGGGGUGAAAGGCCAAUCAAACCGGGAGAUAGCUGGUUCUCCCCGAAAGCUAUUUAGGUAGCGCCUCGUGAAUUCAUCUCCGGGGGUAGAGCACUGUUUCGGCAAGGGGGUCAUCCCGACUUACCAACCCGAUGCAAACUGCGAAUACCGGAGAAUGUUAUCACGGGAGACACACGGCGGGUGCUAACGUCCGUCGUGAAGAGGGAAACAACCCAGACCGCCAGCUAAGGUCCCAAAGUCAUGGUUAAGUGGGAAACGAUGUGGGAAGGCCCAGACAGCCAGGAUGUUGGCUUAGAAGCAGCCAUCAUUUAAAGAAAGCGUAAUAGCUCACUGGUCGAGUCGGCCUGCGCGGAAGAUGUAACGGGGCUAAACCAUGCAC